CGGGAAGCAGCUCAUGAGAUAGGUAGGGAUGGGCUGUAGAACCCUCCUUUAUCAAUACAUCUCUCCCUGCAUUGGAAACAUACUUAGUCUUCCAUGUUUUUGCAUGGGAGGUCAUUCUGUCAAUAAGGAAAGCAAAGGUUUCCUUUCAGGAUCUAUGUUGGAAUCCUUAGGUAUGUUUAGUGGUGGUGGCUCGGUUUGAAGCCAAUGUUGUUG
Molecule: long non-coding RNA, 213 nt
Filed under: Linum usitatissimum (flax)
Lineage: Eukaryota; Viridiplantae; Streptophyta; Magnoliopsida; Malpighiales; Linaceae
Description: long non-coding RNA (LUSI_LNC003455)
Source: RNAcentral